RNAcentral lists this ribosomal RNA (546 nucleotides) under Pseudomonas putida. Its description in RNAcentral is "bacterial SSU rRNA". It matches the Rfam family "Bacterial small subunit ribosomal RNA", at positions 32 to 566 of the family's 1533-position model. Lineage: Bacteria; Pseudomonadati; Pseudomonadota; Gammaproteobacteria; Pseudomonadales; Pseudomonadaceae. The record is from RNAcentral.
UACGCUGGCGGCAGGCCUACACCUGGCAAGUCGAGCGGGAUGAGCAAGAGCUUGGCUCUUCGAUUCAGCAGGCGGACGGGUGAGUAAUGGCCUAGGAAUCUGCCUGAUAGUGGGGGACAACGUUUCGAAAGGAACGCUAAUACCGCAUACAGUCCUACGGGAGAAAGCAGGGAGACCUUCGGGCCUUGCGCUAUCAGAUGAGCCUAGGUCGGAUUAGCUAGUUGGUGGGGUAAUGGCUCACCAAGGCGACGAUCCGUAACUGGUCUGAGAGGAUGAUCAGUCACACUGGAACUGAGACACGGUCCAGACUCCUACGGGAGGCAGCAGUGGGGAAUAUUGGACAAUGGGCGAAAGCCUGAUCCAGCCAUGCCGCGUGUGUGAAGAAGGUCUUCGGAUUGUAAAGCACUUUAAGUUGGGAGGAAGGGCAGUAAGCGAAUACCUUGCUGUUUUGACGUUACCGACAGAAUAAGCACCGGCUAACUCUGUGCCAGCAGCCGCGGUAAUACAGAGGGUGCAAGCGUUUAUCGGAAUUACUGGGCGUAAAGC